ACACUUUUAUAAACAACUGGGUUUAUAUACAAAAGGAGUCUAGAUAAAAACCAACAAAAUGAUCGACACUCAAAAGAAGCUAUCCUACAACAUAUUAGUAGGACAUAGACGCCGAUCCUUCAGACUCCACCUCCAGGCUUAGAUCCUCCACGCACCAUCUAAGGACCUAAAAAUGGUUAUACAAUAACCAGUGAGACAAUGUCUCAGUAAGUCCACCCUUUAAACUCUUAUUAGGAAUAAAAUAUGCCUCAAGGCAAUCUAGCCGCCACAACCACUUGAUUAGAAGAAGGGACUCACCUCGUCUCAGUUCCUUCCUGCAUGUCAGCACAGUUCAUAUCUCAAAUGCAUAUAAUUAAUGCGCACAAUAAUUGAAACGUCUCAACAACUCAAUCAAUCACAAGCGCUCCAAUUGUUAAUAUUUGCCCCUUAAGUUUAGUGUCUACUCGCAUAGCCAGGCAUCGUCUCACCGCCAUUGAGCAUGACCACGUCUAUAUCUUAAUAGAUGGCUUCCUCGAAGGGGCGUAGAUCCAGAAUCUACUACGACCCGAGUCACUUACUCAUAAGUUCGGUGACCUUUUGGCGUAGCCAAGCGUCGUCUCACCACCGUUAAGCACAGCGUGUCUACAUCUUAAUAAACGGCUUCCCCGAAGGGACGUAGGUCCAGAAUCUACUGCAACCUACGAUCCAAAGAAUGGAUAUUACAUAUAGGGUAUUGUCCGGCUUAAAAGCUCGAGACGGGUUCUCAUUAACCAACACACGAUCAAUCAAUAUUGGCCCAGGACACCGUGCAUUACACUCAAAUGUCUUCAUUAAAAUGGUGAUCCUGGCUUAUUUUCUUCAUAUUAAAAACACCCGGUGAAAAUAGUCGUGUGUGGAUACACGGUCAAAUCGAACCCGAAAAAUUCAUAUCAUCCAAUUUAAAAUCCCACUGUUUUAUCUAGUAUAUAAAAAUAUUUUCGGUGUUAAAACCCGACACCCAAGAUUUUUUGAAUAAAUAUUGAAAUUCACAAUUUUUGGAAUAAAUUACCAAAAAUCCAAUCAGGCUUAAUUUGCACAAAUUAACAUCCAAUUGUGAAAAGUGAACACACUACUGCAAUCAGCACAAAAUUUCGGUCACCGACUAUCCUAGUCUAAUUUUCGGAAAAAUAUUUAAUAAUUAAAUAAUUAUCAAAAUUAAUUAAAUAAUUCAAUUAAAUGCCAAAAUAGCUAACCUAGGCCAAAAUUGUAAAAUUAAAUACCAAGACGAGCCCAUAAAAUUCCUAAACUAGUUUAGAUAAUUAAUACAACCUAUCUAGGCCUUAUUUAACUUAAUUUAACAACUUAACAUGCAAGAUUGGAUAUUUAAAUAACUAAUCUAAUUUAACUAACCAUCUAAACCUUAAUUAACUUAAUCUAAUUACCCUCUAAGUAUAAUUAACUUAAUAAUCGAGGUUUAAUGAGUUAACUCACUUGAUUUGCGAUCCCGCUCGGACCAAAACGAUGGGGACGCGAUGAUGAUCGAUAAGUCUCAAAGCGGCGACGCCAACAGGGCUCGGAUUGAGCCCGAAAAUUGGCCCAAGGAAGCCCACGGUUUCUGCUCGGAUCUCUGCAGCUGAAAUGGAGAAUUCAUGUAGAUGUUGACCAAGUGGAGCGCGGCAUGCGAAGCUGAGAGUUGGCUGGGCUUCGAACGGCAGACAAACUUGGAGGAGAUGGCCGAACGGCAGCAGCUUCGGACAUGGGCAGCUAGCGCUCGGUGGAGAUGGAGUGGUCAACAAAGAGCUUCGGUGACACUGAAGUUUGACCGAAGGGGCUAGCUCACAGACAAGUGUCCGUGGAUGAAGGGAAGAAGAAGCAAAUUUUGGUGAGUGGAGAUGGUCGUAGGGGGCAGCUUCGAAGGGAAAUUGAAGGGAAAUUAAAGAAAACAAACCAGAAGUAGAGAGAGAGAGAGAGAGAGAGAGAGAGGUUCGAUUGUUUGGCGUGAG
RNAcentral lists this long non-coding RNA (1961 nucleotides) under Eucalyptus grandis. Its description in RNAcentral is "long non-coding RNA (EGRA_LNC000417)". Lineage: Eukaryota; Viridiplantae; Streptophyta; Magnoliopsida; Myrtales; Myrtaceae. The record is from RNAcentral.